RNAcentral lists this ribosomal RNA (453 nucleotides) under uncultured Porphyromonadaceae bacterium. Its description in RNAcentral is "partial 16S ribosomal RNA". It matches the Rfam family "Bacterial small subunit ribosomal RNA", at positions 341 to 792 of the family's 1533-position model. The record is from RNAcentral. Lineage: Bacteria; Pseudomonadati; Bacteroidota; Bacteroidia; Bacteroidales; Porphyromonadaceae.
ACGGAAGGCAGCAGUGAGGAAUAUUGGUCAAUGGGCGAGAGCCUGAACCAGCCAAGUCGCGUGAAGGAUGAAGGUUCUAUGGAUUGUAAGCUUCUUUUGUUCGAGGGUAAAGUGAGGGAUGCGUCCCUUAUUGCAAGUAUCGAACGAAUAAGCAUCGGCUAACUCCGUGCCAGCAGCCGCGGUAAUACGGAGGAUGCGAGCGUUAUCCGGAUUUAUUGGGUUUAAAGGGUGCGUAGGCGGGAUGUUAAGUCAGCGGUGAAAGCGUGUAGCUCAACUAUACCAAGCCGUUGAAACUGGCGUUCUUGAGUGUAAACGAGGUAGGCGGAAUGUGACGUGUAGCGGUGAAAUGCUUAGAUAUGUCACAGAACCCCGAUUGCGAAGGCAGCUUACCAGCAUACAACUGACGCUGAGGCACGAAAGUGCGGGGAUCAAACAGGAUUAGAUACCCUGGUA